This 584-nucleotide ribosomal RNA is filed under the name Naganishia uzbekistanensis. RNAcentral's name for it is "partial large subunit ribosomal RNA". It matches the Rfam family "Eukaryotic large subunit ribosomal RNA", at positions 73 to 648 of the family's 3401-position model. Lineage: Eukaryota; Fungi; Basidiomycota; Tremellomycetes; Filobasidiales; Filobasidiaceae. The record is from RNAcentral.
GAUUCCCUAGUACGGCGAGUGAGCGGGAAGAGCUCAAAUUUGAAAUCUGGUAGCCUUCGGCUGCCCGAGUUGUAAUCUAGAGAAGUGUUUUCCGUGCCGGCCCAUGUACAAGUCCCUUGGAACAGGGCGUCAUAGAGGGUGAGAAUCCCGUCCUUGACAUGGACCCCCGGUGCUUUGUGAUACACUUUCAACGAGUCGAGUUGUUUGGGAAUGCAGCUCAAAAUGGGUGGUGAAUUCCAUCUAAAGCUAAAUAUUGGCGAGAGACCGAUAGCGAACAAGUACCGUGAGGGAAAGAUGAAAAGCACUUUGGAAAGAGAGUUAAACAGUACGUGAAAUUGUUGAAAGGGAAACGAUUGAAGUCAGUCAUGCUCUUUGGAUUCAGCCGUUCUGCGGUGUAUUUCCAUUGAGUGGGGUCAACAUCAGUUUUGACCGCUGGAUAAAGGCACUAGGAAGGUAGCACUCUCGGGUGAACUUAUAGCCUAGCGUCAUAUACAGUGGUUGGGACUGAGGAACGCAGCAUGCCUUUAUGGCCGGGAUUCGUCCACGUACAUGCUUAGGAUGUUGACAUAAUGGCUUUAAACGAC